RNAcentral lists this ribosomal RNA (752 nucleotides) under uncultured archaeon. RNAcentral's name for it is "bacterial SSU rRNA". It matches the Rfam family "Archaeal small subunit ribosomal RNA", at positions 1 to 728 of the family's 1478-position model. The record is from RNAcentral.
UUCCGGUUGAUCCUGCCGGACCCCACUGCUAUCGGGGUGGGACUAAGACAUGCUAGUCGUGCACCUCCAGGCCACGGUGGAGGCGCGGCGCACAGCUCAGUAACACGUGGCUAACCUACCCUUGGGACGGAAAUAACCCCGGGAAACUGGGGCUAAUUUCCGAUAGGUGAAGAUUCCUGGAAUGGAUCUUCGCCGAAAAGGCGUCUAGACCAUGCUUCUAGGCGCUGCCCAAGGAUGGGGCCGCGGCCGAUCAGGUUGUUGGUGAGGUAACGGCUCACCAAGCCUAUAACCGGUACGGGCCGUGGGAGCGGUAGCCCGGAGAUGGGCACUGAGACAAGGGCCCAGGCCCUACGGGGCGCAGCAGUCGCGAAACCUCCGCAAUACGCGAAAGCGUGACGGGGUCAUCCCGAGUGCCGUCCGCUGAGGAUGGCUUUUCCCCAGUGUAGACAGCUGGGGGAAUAAGGAGAGGGCAAGUCGGGUGUCAGCCGCCGCGGUAAUACCCGCUCUCCGAGUGGUGGGGACGCUUAUUGGGCCUAAAGCAUCCGUAGCCGGCUGGACAAGUCCCCUGUUAAAUCCAGCGAUUUAGUCGUUGGACUGCGGGGGAUACUGUCCGGCUAGGGGGCGGGAGAGGCCGACGGUAUUUCCGGGGUAGGGGUGAAAUCCUAUAAUCCCGGGAGGACCACCAGUGGCGAAGGCUGUCGGCUAGAACGCGCCCGACGGUGAGGGAUGAAAGCUGGGGGGAGCGAACCGGA